Salmo salar (Atlantic salmon) is the source of this 84-nucleotide non-coding RNA. The record is from Rfam. NCBI's taxonomy places the organism in Eukaryota, Metazoa, Chordata, Actinopteri, Salmoniformes, Salmonidae.
CUCCCUGUGGCUCAGUUGGUAGAGCAUGGUGUUUGCAAUGGUGUUUGCAACGCCAGGGUUGUGGGUUUGAUUCCCACAGGGGGC